CCUACGGGGGGCAGCAGUCGAGAAUCAUUCACAAUGGGGGAAACCCUGAUGGUGCGACGCCGCGUGGGGGAAUGAAGGUCUUCGGAUUGUAAAGCUCUUUGAUCAGGGACGAACAGAUGACGGUACCUGAAGAACAAGCCCCGGCUAACUACGUGCCAGCAGCCGCGGUAAAACGUAGGGGGCGAGCGUUGUCCGGAAUGACUGGGCGUAAAGGGUGCGUAGGCGGCAUAAUAAGUUAGAAGUGAAAUACCCAGAGCUUAACUCGGGUGCUGCUUCUAAGACUGUUGAGCUUGAGUGCGGGAGAGAUUAAUGGAAUUCCUAGUGUAGCGGUGGAAUGCGUAGAUAUUAGGAGGAACACCAGAGGCGAAGGCGAUUAACUGGACCGUAACUGACGCUGAGGCACGAAAGUGUGGGUAGCAAACAGGAUUAGAUACCCGAGUAGUC
This 444-nucleotide ribosomal RNA is filed under the name uncultured bacterium. RNAcentral's name for it is "partial 16S ribosomal RNA". It matches the Rfam family "Bacterial small subunit ribosomal RNA", at positions 338 to 795 of the family's 1533-position model. The record is from RNAcentral.